GAAUGAGAACCGGUCCGCGUAAAGUGGACCGUAAACCUCCACCCUUGCCUAUGAUACAACUGUUGCUUUGGUGGGCCGCGAACCGUAAGGUGAGCACCGGCUUCGGCUGGAGAGUGCCUGCCAGAGGACCCAACUCUGAAAUUUAGUGACGUCUGAGUACUAUUUAAUAGUUA
RNAcentral lists this unclassified non-coding RNA (173 nucleotides) under uncultured Arachnopeziza. RNAcentral's name for it is "sequence contains ITS1". The record is from RNAcentral. Lineage: Eukaryota; Fungi; Ascomycota; Leotiomycetes; Helotiales; Hyaloscyphaceae.